UACGUAGGGACCAAGCGUUGUUCGGAUUUACUGGGCGUAAAGGGCGCGUAGGCGGCGUGGUAAGUCUGUUGUGAAAUCUCUGAGCUUAACUCAGAACGGCCAGGUGAUACUGCUGUGCUAGAGUGCAGAAGGGGCAAUCGGAAUUCUUGGUGUAGCGGUGAAAUGCGCAGAUAUCAGGAGGAACACCGAUGGCGAAGGCAGGUCUCUGGGCAUUAACUGACGCUGAGGAGCGAAAGCGUGGGGAGCGAACAGG
This 253-nucleotide ribosomal RNA is filed under the name uncultured bacterium. RNAcentral describes it as "partial 16S ribosomal RNA". It matches the Rfam family "Bacterial small subunit ribosomal RNA", at positions 524 to 776 of the family's 1533-position model. The record is from RNAcentral.